CCGCCAUACACAUAUCCAAACCCAUAACCAUACACCAGAUUUGACCCAGACUCCAUCAACUCCUCUGACUCCGGCCAUCUCGACGCCGACAGGGACAGGACGACGACUCCAGCCCGAACAGCGAUCUCAGUGGCCUCAACGACGAAAAAAUCAAGCGAAGACUCCACCAGCGAUUCCAGCCCGAACAGCGAUCUCAGUGGCCUCAACGACGCUCACCAGCGAAGACUCCACCUGAUCAUCUCCUAGCACCGGCGACUACUCCACCUGCACACCUCCGCCAGCAACAACCUCGAUCUCACUUGCACACCGCCGCCAGCGACGACCUCGAUCUCACCUGUACAAGCUUACCUCGACCGCCCAGACGCCGACGACUCCCUCUCCGGCGUUCAACCACCGACCCG
This 401-nucleotide long non-coding RNA is filed under the name Rosa chinensis. Its description in RNAcentral is "sRNA RchiOBHm_Chr1g0360991". Lineage: Eukaryota; Viridiplantae; Streptophyta; Magnoliopsida; Rosales; Rosaceae. The record is from RNAcentral.